UUCAGACUCUUCUGGAGAUGGUGCAAAGAAGCAGAAUGCAGUAGAUCAGAAGUUCUCAAAUUUUAGGGCGUGGAGUCAUCCGAAAUGCUUAUGAAAACAUAGAUUGCUGGCCCCACCCAAUAAUUUUUGAUCCCAAAUUUUAAAAUUCAGAUUUUUCUGAAUUUUCUGAGCUUUUGUCCUGGAGAAAAGUUUGAUCGCUUCUAGCUGCCAGGCUCUGCAGGAUGUUGCUCUCUCUCUCCAGACCUAGGACCGUUCCUCUGCUUUCCCCACAAGGGCCUGUGAGCAGAUGAGCUGGCACCCUGGGGAGCCGGCAAAGGGGCAGAGGCUGAGCAACGGGGAGAGGUUCAUGAAGAAGGAACUGUUGGCUGCCUGCUCAGGAUGAACUUUCUACAGCUGAAAAGGAAACCAGUGUCAACUAUCUGGUAUUGAUUUCAUCUGUUUGGUAUCGUCUUCUGGAUUCUGAGGCAAAUGCCUAUUGAAUUUCUGCUGCUGAUUGCUGGAGCAGUCUUCAGAUAGCUGAUGUCUUUGUGGUUGGACCUCUCGGUCCCAGCAUCAUCCGCAUGUGCUGUGGAAGAGCGUCUCUUACUUGAAGCAGAUUAGAGAGAGAACCUACACAGCUUUUUCUGAAAGGUGAUCUUGCCUGAGAGAAAUGAUAAUGACCGAGAUAAAACACCUCUCUCGAAUCUCCUGUGGGCCCUCAGCGCAUUUUUAUCCUAAUUACAGACGUCCGAGAGAGCCUUUCCAGAAGGAGCAGAUUCUAACCGGAGCUCCAUAUGGAACACAUUGACAGUUACCAUCCAGCUGAGAAAUACGUCAUGGGGCCUAAGAGACCUGUGGCCGUGGUAUUUGGUAGACCGGCCUGGCUUGACCCAAAACACAAAAUGCGCAUCACUGAGGCUCCAUGUGUGGGAAUAUUUGGACUUUGUGGCCAUUGGAAUGUGUGACCAAAUCUAGCCUUCUCAGGGUUCUGCAGGUGAAGCAGAACUCUUACUCAUCUUCUGCCCAUCACGUAUCCUGUGAGACAACAUUCAACUUCUAAUGCCAUCCACGAGGUCAGACUUGCAGAUGGAGCAGACUAAGAAGACGUGAGAACUAAAUGCAAUUUGGGAUUCUGGAUUGGAUCCUGGAACAGAAAAAAGAUAUUAGUGGAAAAACUGAUGAAAAUCAAAUAAGACCUUUCGGUUAAUCGUAUCUUACCAAUGUAAAUUUCCUGAUUUUGACCAUUGUAUUACAGACCAGAUGUAAGUGUCAAGAACAGGGGUCUUCAUCUGUUCACCGCAGUGUCCCCAACUUCUAGAAGAGAACCCUUGCUGGUGGAGCUUUCAGGGAGCAGACACUGAGGCAGCCUGCUUUUCAGAACAGGCCCUUCGGAUCAACACCUGUGGAAGGAAAGAGGCAGAGGUGACAUCAAGCAGAGGGAGGAGUUGAGCUGCAAAGCUGGCCUGGCUGCCUUAGCUCUUGAAGUAAAAUGGCCUGUUGGAGUCAUCCCAGGUGGGACCAGAAUGGCUGGGCCUUUACACCUGUCUGCAUCAGUCAUGAGAUGACGCAUCCUGGGUGAGGUGGCUCUGCAUCUGAAGCCAUCCCUGCAGGGGCUGACAGCUGGAGGCAAGUCCUUUCCUGUAGGGGUGUCUUGGUGACAUAGCUGUGCCCAUCACAGGUGCCUGGCUUGUAGUUAGCAUUUAAAAAAUAUUUAAGUGGCUAAGUCUUUCCGUAUAUCCUGAACAUUUU
Long non-coding RNA from Equus asinus (donkey), 1728 nucleotides. The record is from Ensembl. NCBI's taxonomy places the organism in Eukaryota, Metazoa, Chordata, Mammalia, Perissodactyla, Equidae.